Molecule: ribosomal RNA, 1667 nt
Filed under: Salmonella enterica subsp. enterica serovar Enteritidis
Lineage: Bacteria; Pseudomonadati; Pseudomonadota; Gammaproteobacteria; Enterobacterales; Enterobacteriaceae
Description: partial 23S ribosomal RNA
Rfam family: Bacterial large subunit ribosomal RNA
Source: RNAcentral
CUUAUGCGUUGUUGGGUAGGGGAGCGUUCUGUAAGCCUGCGAAGGUGGCCUGUGAGGGUUGCUGGAGGUAUCAGAAGUGCGAAUGCUGACAUAAGUAACGAUAAAGCGGGUGAAAAGCCCGCUCGCCGGAAGACCAAGGGUUCCUGUCCAACGUUAAUCGGGGCAGGGUGAGUCGACCCCUAAGGCGAGGCCGAAAGGCGUAGUCGAUGGGAAACGGGUUAAUAUUCCCGUACUUGGUGUUACUGCGAAGGGGGGACGGAGAAGGCUAUGUUGGCCGGGCGACGGUUGUCCCGGUUUAAGCGUGUAGGCUGGUUUUCCAGGCAAAUCCGGAAAAUCAAGGCUGAGGCGUGAUGACGAGGCACUACGGUGCUGAAGCAACAAAUGCCCUGCUUCCAGGAAAAGCCUCUAAGCAUCAGGUAACAUCAAAUCGUACCCCAAACCGACACAGGUGGUCAGGUAGAGAAUACCAAGGCGCUUGAGAGAACUCGGGUGAAGGAACUAGGCAAAAUGGUGCCGUAACUUCGGGAGAAGGCACGCUGACACGUAGGUGAAGUGAUUUACUCAUGGAGCUGAAGUCAGUCGAAGAUACCAGCUGGCUGCAACUGUUUAUUAAAAACACAGCACUGUGCAAACACGAAAGUGGACGUAUACGGUGUGACGCCUGCCCGGUGCCGGAAGGUUAAUUGAUGGGGUCAGCGCAAGCGAAGCUCCUGAUCGAAGCCCCGGUAAACGGCGGCCGUAACUAUAACGGUCCUAAGGUAGCGAAAUUCCUUGUCGGGUAAGUUCCGACCUGCACGAAUGGCGUAAUGAUGGCCAGGCUGUCUCCACCCGAGACUCAGUGAAAUUGAACUCGCUGUGAAGAUGCAGUGUACCCGCGGCAAGACGGAAAGACCCCGUGAACCUUUACUAUAGCUUGACACUGAACAUUGAGCCUUGAUGUGUAGGAUAGGUGGGAGGCUUUGAAGUGUGGACGCCAGUCUGCAUGGAGCCGACCUUGAAAUACCACCCUUUAAUGUUUGAUGUUCUAACGUGGACCCGUUACCCGGGUUGCGGACAGUGUCUGGUGGGUAGUUUGACUGGGGCGGUCUCCUCCUAAAGAGUAACGGAGGAGCACGAAGGUUGGCUAAUCCUGGUCGGACAUCAGGAGGUUAGUGCAAUGGCAUAAGCCAGCUUGACUGCGAGCGUGACGGCGCGAGCAGGUGCGAAAGCAGGUCAUAGUGAUCCGGUGGUUCUGAAUGGAAGGGCCAUCGCUCAACGGAUAAAAGGUACUCCGGGGAUAACAGGCUGAUACCGCCCAAGAGUUCAUAUCGACGGCGGUGUUUGGCACCUCGAUGUCGGCUCAUCACAUCCUGGGGCUGAAGUAGGUCCCAAGGGUAUGGCUGUUCGCCAUUUAAAGUGGUACGCGAGCUGGGUUUAGAACGUCGUGAGACAGUUCGGUCCCUAUCUGCCGUGGGCGCUGGAGAACUGAGGGGGGCUGCUCCUAGUACGAGAGGACCGGAGUGGACGCAUCACUGGUGUUCGGGUUGUCAUGCCAAUGGCACUGCCCGGUAGCUAAAUGCGGAAGAGAUAAGUGCUGAAAGCAUCUAAGCACGAAACUUGCCCCGAGAUGAGUUCUCCCUGAGACUUAGAGUCUCCUGAAGGAACGUUGAAGACGACGACGUUGAUAG